This 259-nucleotide ribosomal RNA is filed under the name uncultured bacterium. RNAcentral describes it as "partial small subunit ribosomal RNA". It matches the Rfam family "Bacterial small subunit ribosomal RNA", at positions 26 to 285 of the family's 1533-position model. The record is from RNAcentral.
AGGACGAACGCUGGCGGCGUGCUUAACACAUGCAAGUCGAGCGGUAAGGCCUCCUUCGGGGGGUACACGAGCGGCGAACGGGUGAGUAACACGUGGGUGACCUGCCCUCAGCUCUGGGAUAAGCCUGGGAAACCGGGUCUAAUACCGGAUAGGACUGCUUGCCGCAUGGUGGGUGGUGGAAAGUUUUUUCGGCUGGGGAUGGGCCCGCGGCCUAUCAGCGUUGUUGGUGGGUGAUGGCCUACCAAGGCGGUGACGGGUA